Molecule: ribosomal RNA, 560 nt
Filed under: uncultured bacterium
Lineage: Bacteria
Description: partial 16S ribosomal RNA
Rfam family: Bacterial small subunit ribosomal RNA
Source: RNAcentral
UGGGGAAUUUUGGACAAUGGGCGAAAGCCUGAUCCAGCAAUGCCGCGUGCAGGAUGAAGGCCUUCGGGUUGUAAACUGCUUUUGUACGGAACGAAAAAGCUUCUCCUAAUACGAGAGGCCCAUGACGGUACCGUAAGAAUAAGCACCGGCUAACUACGUGCCAGCAGCCGCGGUAAUACGUAGGGUGCGAGCGUUAAUCGGAAUUACUGGGCGUAAAGCGUGCGCAGGCGGUUAUGUAAGACAGAUGUGAAAUCCCCGGGCUCAACCUGGGAACUGCAUUUGUGACUGCAUGGCUAGAGUACGGUAGAGGGGGAUGGAAUUCCGCGUGUAGCAGUGAAAUGCGUAGAUAUGCGGAGGAACACCGAUGGCGAAGGCAAUCCCCUGGACCUGUACUGACGCUCAUGCACGAAAGCGUGGGGAGCAAACNGGAUUAGAUACCCUGGUAGUCCACGCCCUAAACGAUGUCAACUGGUUGUUGGGGAAUUAGUUUUCUCAGUAACGAAGCUAACGCGUGAAGUUGACCGCCUGGGGAGUACGGCCGCAAGGUUGAAACUCAAAUG